UACGGAGGAUGCGAGCGUUAUCCGGAUUUAUUGGGUUUAAAGGGUGCGUAGGCGGGAUGCCAAGUCAGCGGUAAAAUUGAGAGGCUCAACCUCUUCCCGCCGUUGAAACUGGUGGUCUUGAGUGGAUGAGAAGUACGCGGAAUGCGUGGUGUAGCGGUGAAAUGCAUAGAUAUCACGCAGAACUCCGAUUGCGAAGGCAGCGUACCGGCAUCCAACUGACGCUGAGGCACGAAAGCGUGGGGAUCAAACAGG
This 252-nucleotide ribosomal RNA is filed under the name uncultured bacterium. RNAcentral describes it as "partial 16S ribosomal RNA". It matches the Rfam family "Bacterial small subunit ribosomal RNA", at positions 524 to 776 of the family's 1533-position model. The record is from RNAcentral.